This 791-nucleotide ribosomal RNA is filed under the name uncultured bacterium. RNAcentral's name for it is "bacterial SSU rRNA". It matches the Rfam family "Bacterial small subunit ribosomal RNA", at positions 66 to 840 of the family's 1533-position model. The record is from RNAcentral.
GGGGCAUCGGGGCGAGGAGCAAUCCUUGCCGCCGGCGACCGGCGCACUUGGUGAGUAACGCGUAUGCGACCUGCCCGUUGCAGGGGGAUAAUCGGGAGAAAUCCCGUCUAAUACCGCGUAACGCCGCGGGGCUGCAUGGCCCUGCGGCCAAAGGAAGCGAUUCCGGCAACGGAUGGGCAUGCGUGACAUUAGCUAGUUGGCGGGGCAACGGCCCACCAAGGCGACGAUGUCUAGGGGUUCUGAGAGGAAGGUCCCCCACACUGGUACUGAGACACGGACCAGACUCCUACGGGAGGCAGCAGUGAGGAAUAUUGGUCAAUGGGCGCGAGCCUGAACCAGCCAAGUCGCGUGAGGGAUGACGGCCCUACGGGUUGUAAACCUCUUUUGUCGGGGAGCAAAUUCCGCCACGCGUGGCGGAGUCGAGAGUACCCGAAGAAAAAGCAUCGGCUAACUCCGUGCCAGCAGCCGCGGUAAUACGGAGGAUGCGAGCGUUAUCCGGAUUUAUUGGGUUUAAAGGGUGCGUAGGCGGACUGUCAAGUCAGCGGUAAAAUACGGGGGCUCAACCUCCGCCCGCCGUUGAAACUGACGGUCUUGAGUGGGCGAGAAGUAUGCGGAAUGCGUGGUGUAGCGGUGAAAUGCAUAGAUAUCACGCAGAACUCCGAUUGCGAAGGCAGCAUACCGGCGCCCAACUGACGCUGAAGCACGAAAGCGUGGGUAUCGAACAGGAUUAGAUACCCUGGUAGUCCACGCAGUAAACGAUGAAUACUAGCUGUCCGGGGCGAAUGGGCCCU